Non-coding RNA from Acanthosepion pharaonis, 94 nucleotides. Lineage: Eukaryota; Metazoa; Mollusca; Cephalopoda; Sepiida; Sepiidae. The record is from the annotation of a GenBank genome assembly.
AAAACACCGCUUCCUUUCAGAUCACCAAAGUUAAGCAACGUUGAGCCUGGCCAGUACCUAGAUGGGUAACCGCUUGGGAAUACCAAGGGUUGUU